Molecule: ribosomal RNA, 823 nt
Filed under: uncultured bacterium
Lineage: Bacteria
Description: bacterial SSU rRNA
Rfam family: Bacterial small subunit ribosomal RNA
Source: RNAcentral
UGGAAACUNUCUGACUUGAGUGCAGAAGGGGAGAGUGGAAUUCCAUGUGUAGCGGUGAAAUGCGUAGAUAUAUGGAGGAACACCAGUGGCGAAAGCGGCUCUCUGNUCUGUCACUGACGCUGAGGCUCGAAAGCGUGGGUAGCGAACAGGAUUAGAUACCCUGGUAGUCCACGCCGUAAACGAUGAGUGCUAGGUGUUAGGCCCUUUCCGGGGCUUAGUGCCGGAGCUAACGCAAUAAGCACUCCGCCUGGGGAGUACGACCGCAAGGUUGAAACUCAAAGGAAUUGACGGGGGCCCGCACAAGCGGUGGAGCAUGUGGUUUAAUUCGAAGCAACGCGAAGAACCUUACCAGGUCUUGACAUCCCGAUGCUAUUCUUAGAGAUAGGAAGUUACUUCGGUACAUCGGAGACAGGUGGUGCAUGGUUGUCGUCAGCUCGUGUCGUGAGAUGUUGGGUUAAGUCCCGCAACGAGCGCAACCCUUAUUGUUAGUUGCCAUCAUUAAGUUGGGCACUCUAGCGAGACUGCCGGUAAUAAACCGGAGGAAGGUGGGGAUGACGUCAAAUCAUCAUGCCCCUUAUGACCUGGGCUACACACGUGCUACAAUGGUCGGUACAACGAGUUGCGAGCCGGUGACGGCAAGCCAAUCUCUGAAAGCCGAUCUCAGUUCGGAUUGGAGGCUGCAACUCGCCUCCAUGAAGUCGGAAUCGCUAGUAAUCGCGGAUCAGCACGCCGCGGUGAAUACGUUCCCGGGCCUUGUACACACCGCCCGUCACACCACGAGAGUUUGUAACACCCGAAGUCGGUGAGGUAACCUUUUAGGGGC